Molecule: non-coding RNA, 73 nt
Organism: Potamilus streckersoni
Lineage: Eukaryota; Metazoa; Mollusca; Bivalvia; Unionida; Unionidae
Source: the annotation of a GenBank genome assembly
GCUCUGGUAUCCUAGUGGUUAGAACGUCUACUUCAUGUGGAGGAGAUCUAGGGUUCAAAUCCCGGCUGAGGCA